UCACCAUAAGUCAGUUACAGUUGAUAAAGAAAUGUGGCCUGUGUAUGUGGAACUGACGAACGGCAGCAUAUACGGCUGUGAUUUCCUUGUCAGCGCUACAGGAGUCACCCCAAAUGUGCAGCCGUUUCUCCAUGGAAACGAUGUAAGGUGAAUUCUGUCCACUCACCUGUCUUACAGUCCUGAUCUUUACAGUGUCUAGGUUUUAAACAGCCAUCAUUGUAGUAGUAACUGUAACUGAAUUUAGCAGCAACACCCCACUCACAGUGUUCUCUUCUACUUCGCAUCCUUAAGCAGUUAACAUCCAGCUUAAGAUCAUCUAGAGCCAGUGUCCAGUUUAUCAAGG
RNAcentral lists this long non-coding RNA (343 nucleotides) under Rattus norvegicus (Norway rat). Its description in RNAcentral is "long non-coding RNA NONRATT021018". The record is from RNAcentral. Lineage: Eukaryota; Metazoa; Chordata; Mammalia; Rodentia; Muridae.